Molecule: ribosomal RNA, 507 nt
Filed under: uncultured bacterium
Lineage: Bacteria
Description: partial 16S ribosomal RNA
Rfam family: Bacterial small subunit ribosomal RNA
Source: RNAcentral
GACGAACGCUGGCGGCGUGCUUAACACAUGCAAGUCGAACGAGAAAGCCCUUCGGGGUAAGUACAGUGGCGAACGGGUGAGUAACACGUGGGCAACCUGCCCCAGAGAGCGGGACAACCCGGGGAAACCCGGGCUAAUACCGCAUGAUGCGUCUCCACUUAAGUGGAGCCGCCAAAUGGUAGCUUCGGCCUCCGCUCUGGGCUGGGCCCGCGCCGGAUUAGCUAGUUGGUUGGGGUAACGGCCCACCAAGGCGACGAUCCGUAGCGGCACUGAGAGGACGAUCAGCCACACUGGGACUGAGACACGGCCCAGACUCCUACGGGAGGCAGCAGUGGGGAAUCUUGCGCAAUGGGCGAAAGCCUGACGCAGCAACGCCGCGUGGGGGAAGAAGGCCUUCGGGUUGUAAACCUCUUUCAGUAGGGACGAAGCUUCCGAGGUUAAUAGCCUACGGGGUGACGGUACCUACAGAAGAAGCCCCGGCUAACUACGUGCCAGCCGCCGCCGUAA